CUCGUAGGCGGUUUGUCGCGUCGUCUGUGAAAUUCUGCAACUCAAUUGCAGGCGUGCAGGCGAUACGGGCAGACUCGAGUACUACAGGGGAGACUGGAAUUCCUGGUGUAGCGGUGAAAUGCGCAGAUAUCAGGAGGAACACCGGUGGCGAAGGCGGGUCUCUGGGUAGUAACUGACGCUGAGGAGCGAAAGCGUGGGAGCGAACA
RNAcentral lists this ribosomal RNA (206 nucleotides) under uncultured bacterium. RNAcentral describes it as "partial 16S ribosomal RNA". It matches the Rfam family "Bacterial small subunit ribosomal RNA", at positions 568 to 774 of the family's 1533-position model. The record is from RNAcentral.